UGGGGCGUGGUCCAAUCGGUAGGACGCUGCACUGUUAAUGCAGAAGGUGGAGGUUCGAAUCCUCCCGCCCCAGCCA
This 76-nucleotide transfer RNA is filed under the name Pseudomonadota bacterium. RNAcentral's name for it is "tRNA-Asn". It matches the Rfam family "tRNA". Rfam says of the family: Transfer RNA (tRNA) molecules are approximately 80 nucleotides in length. Their secondary structure includes four short double-helical elements and three loops (D, anti-codon, and T loops). Further hydrogen bonds mediate the characteristic L-shaped molecular structure. tRNAs have two regions of fundamental functional importance: the anti-codon, which is responsible for specific mRNA codon recognition, and the 3' end, to which the tRNAs corresponding amino acid is attached (by aminoacyl-tRNA synthetases). tRNAs cope with the degeneracy of the genetic code in two manners: having more than one tRNA (with a specific anti-codon) for a particular amino acid; and 'wobble' base-pairing, i.e. permitting non-standard base-pairing at the 3rd anti-codon position. The record is from RNAcentral. RNAcentral also lists the same sequence under 2 other names. Lineage: Bacteria; Pseudomonadati; Pseudomonadota.